This is a long non-coding RNA of Limulus polyphemus (Atlantic horseshoe crab), 511 nucleotides long. RefSeq lists it as uncharacterized. The record is from RefSeq and is a predicted model, not a curated record. NCBI's taxonomy places the organism in Eukaryota, Metazoa, Arthropoda, Merostomata, Xiphosura, Limulidae. The transcript is spliced from 4 exons.
CUACUUGAGAGUUCGAUGUGUACACUAUUUGGAGAAGCGUAAGAAUACCAAAGAAAUCCAUAUAAAAACCUAUGUUUUGGGGCUAGAAUUCAGUCAUGUUUAGAAACUAAACAACUUGCUCCUGGAUGAAUAUGCUGCCUGAUCCUGAGACCAAAACAACAUUGAAAAUAUCCAAGCUCCAUCAACUGUAACCUGGAAUUGAAUAAAUCUAUUGUGAGCUGGAUUAAGUCAAGCUCCAAACAACUGACCUACAGAGCGUCCUAGCCUUUCACAUGAGUUUUUGAAGGUACGUCCAGAAGUAUCAUACUGUUUGAAGGACCAAAACUUUGAUUUGUAUGCGUAAAGCCAUACAAUGAAAUAAAGUUUGGACACGAAAAGCCAACAUCUUCCAAAAGACAAACAAGUCAUCUUGAGCCCAGAUGCGGUGUAACUUCCCUGAUGAACAGUAAGGACCCGACUGUCUGGAUAACUGGGAAGAGUUAAAACUUCUCCAUUUGGCAAAUGAAGGAUU